RNAcentral lists this long non-coding RNA (558 nucleotides) under Homo sapiens (human). RNAcentral's name for it is "HSALNT0114724". Lineage: Eukaryota; Metazoa; Chordata; Mammalia; Primates; Hominidae. The record is from RNAcentral.
GGAUGGGCCGGGUUUGGUGGCUCACGCCUGUAAUCCCAGCACUUUGGGAGGCUGAGGAGGGCGGAUCACAAGGUCAGGAGAUCGAGACUACCCUGGCUAACACGGAGAAACCUCAUCUCUACUAAAAAUACAAAAAUUAGCCGGGCUUGUUGGCGGGCGCCUGUAGCCCCAGCUACUUGGGAGGCUGAGUCAGAAGAAUGGCGUGAACCCGGGAGGCGGAGCUUGCAGUGAGCUGAGACUGCACCACUGCACUUCAGCCUGGGCUGGGCGACAGAGCGAGACUGAGUCUCUCAAAAAAAAAAAAAAGAAAAAGGAUUAACGUGUUUCUGACUGUUUCCUGAGGCCUCUGCAGCCAUGCUUCCUGGACAGCCUGCAGAACUGUGAGUCAAUUAAACCUCUUUUUUUUUUUCAGAUGGAGUCUCACUCUGUUGCCCAGCCUGGAUUGCAGUGGUGCAAUCCAUCAGCUCACUGCAACCUCUGCCUCCUGGGUUCAAGUGAUUCUUCUGCCUCAGUCUCCCCAGCAGCUGGGAUUACAGGCAUCCACCACCAUGCCAGGCU